UGGGAGCAUCAACACCUACUGCUGUUGGCACAGGAUUUUGGGAAAUGAGUUGAAGUCUUUGAGGCAGGACAGACAUUUCUGCUGGUGGGUACCACAGUUUCCAAACUCCUGUGCUGUCCCUUUAUGAGGUAAUGCCACCAGUUUCCUGGUAGACCAUAUAUACAGAGUUUUGUGGGCAUCCUGGAAUGGUUCCCCACUUCCACAGUGCACUGUGGGAAUCCAAAGCAGUAACAGUGGAGCCAAGGAGCAAAGACGGGAAGAUGGAGUGUUUUUCCAAGGAGGCAUUCAGGUGCUCUGAAGAACUUUAGCAGGAAAGACUCACCACACUUAGUGAUGAAAGUCUGCCUCUACAUCACUCUCUAGUGCUGUUCUGAUACACUUCAUCACCUUAAUAAAGCUCCCUUGGAAAUUAGCCUUGGUUACUCCAAAGUCUCCUGGUGGAUGCAGAAGGAAAGGACUAAUACAAUAGGAAAAGGCAAAGAUAUGUAGGGUUGUGAUCUUUUCUCCAGAAAUCCCAUGAGGCUGCUCAAGGGAUCUCAAAGUGCUGCAGUCAUCUUCCUCCUCAGCUUCAGCUCCACCAUGCCUGGAGAACGUGGUUCCACAGAGGACAACUCAUAAGUCCACUGCCCACAAGUGUUUUCCUGGAGAGCACCUAGACAGCAUCCUUCCAAUGGAAUCUGUGUGUAGGUGGGAAUUACACCUACAAAAGGUGUUACACAUGUAUGAGGGGAUGGUGACACACCUCCAAUGAUUGUUUUCAUUUGGGUUUUCUCACUUGUUCAGGUCAAUGUCUCUGAACACAAGUACUGCAAUCACAGCUUCACUGACCUGGAAGCACAUGAGGCCAUGAAAGGAAAGAUUCUCCUUUCCCCAGUCGUUUCUAAAUCCAGUAAUGGCCAGUGAAGGCCAUCACUCUCCCCAUUCACACUUCCUGUCCCAGAGAUCCCAUUACUGACAGGAUUCCCCCUUUUUCUUUGACUUCACCAUAACUGGUUCUGAACUUGCAGUUUUGUCCUGUGCAGCCUAACACAGAUCUGAAAUCAGAACAGUGAUUUCACUUAAA
This is a long non-coding RNA of Passer domesticus (house sparrow), 1063 nucleotides long. RefSeq lists it as uncharacterized. Lineage: Eukaryota; Metazoa; Chordata; Aves; Passeriformes; Passeridae. The record is from RefSeq and is a predicted model, not a curated record. The transcript has 4 exons.